AACCGGAUUAGAUACCCUGGUAGUCCACGCCCUAAACGAUGCCAACUAGGUGUUGGGGAAGGAGACUUCCUUAGUACCGUAGCUAACGCGUGAAGUUGGCCGCCUGGGGAGUACGGUCGCAAGAUUAAAACUCAAAGGAAUUGACGGGGACCCGCACAAGCGGUGGAUGAUGUGGAUUAAUUCGAUGCAACGCGAAAAACCUUACCUACCCUUGACAUGCCAGGAACCCUGCUGAGAGGUGGGGGUGCUCGAAAGAGAGCCUGGACACAGGUGCUGCAUGGCUGUCGUCAGCUCGUGUCGUGAGAUGUUGGGUUAAGUCCCGCAACGAGCGCAACCCUUGUCAUUAGUUGCCAUCAUUUAGUUGGGCACUCUAAUGAGACUGCCGGUGACAAACCGGAGGAAGGUGGGGAUGACGUCAAGUCCUCAUGGCCCUUAUGGGUAGGGCUUCACACGUCAUACAAUGGUCGGUACAGAGGGUUGCCAAGCCGCGAGGUGGAGCCAAUCCCAGAAAGCCGAUCGUAGUCCGGAUCGGAGUCUGCAACUCGACUCCGUGAAGUCGGAAUCGCUAGUAAUCGUGGAUCAGCAUGCCACGGUGAAUACGUUCCCGGGUCUUGUACACACCGCCCGUCACACCAUGGGAGUGGGUUUCACCAGAAGUAGGUAGCCUAACCGCAAGGGGGGCGCUUACCACGGUGGGAUUCAUGACUGGGGUGAAGUCGUAACAAGGUACC
This 731-nucleotide ribosomal RNA is filed under the name uncultured bacterium. Its description in RNAcentral is "bacterial SSU rRNA". It matches the Rfam family "Bacterial small subunit ribosomal RNA", at positions 771 to 1500 of the family's 1533-position model. The record is from RNAcentral.